GGGGUGUCGCUCUUGGAGCGGACGCGGCGGAUGGGUCUGCGGUCGAUGUCCUCCUCGGAAGAUGCCGCCAUUAAUGUGGGCACGACAGGAGCUCUUACGAUAUGAUGAGGUUUGACAUCCCUCAUAGCUGAGCUUCAGUGUGAAAAAGUCUGUGCUUGGGCAGGGGAGUGAACUCAGGCAAAGAGGAAAACAGAAUACAUGCCCAGGACUUUUCUUCACUGCUCAAUGGGAAAAAGAAUGACAGUGUGCUGGAAACUGAGAAGAAGCUUCAUACAUUCAAAGAUGCUGCUCCUGACCUUUUGUUCAGCAGAGAGAGAAAAUAAAACAACAUCUACCAAACUUGAAGCAACAUAAAUUCUCCUGGACACCUGAAAGGUUCUUCCCCUGCCAUCUUCCUAAACAGGCUACAGAACUCCGAAGAUCAGGAUGAAAUUUUGUCUCAGCGAUGAGUAGAAAAUAAUAACUUGUGUCUUGUCAAGCUGGUCUCCUGUCUCCUUUGACAACUCAGCCUUUGGUGGCUGCAGUGGCUGUGUCAUAAACCCCUUGGACCAGCCCAUUAGAAGGAAAAGAAC
This is a long non-coding RNA of Passer montanus (Eurasian tree sparrow), 572 nucleotides long. RefSeq lists it as uncharacterized. NCBI's taxonomy places the organism in Eukaryota, Metazoa, Chordata, Aves, Passeriformes, Passeridae. The record is from RefSeq and is a predicted model, not a curated record. The transcript has 4 exons.